Molecule: small nuclear RNA, 126 nt
Organism: Zalophus californianus (California sea lion)
Lineage: Eukaryota; Metazoa; Chordata; Mammalia; Carnivora; Otariidae
Source: Ensembl
AUGUUGUAUGACAGGAGGGAAUGUUAGCUCUCCCCCAGACAAAGGUGGAAGAAGCCCUUGGGCCAUACAACAGACAUGUGGCUAAGGUAUCACCACAUACUUUGUGGCAUCUAACCAUGGGUUUUC